AGCAACUCAGGCGAUUUCAUCAUGGAUCUUUGAUGAUGAUGAACGACGAUGGCUGCGCUGGUGAAUCCUUGUUGCUGCUAUCGCUGCCUUUAAUCUCUGAUUGUGUCAACUGUUGUUUGUCUUCAGCAUCAUCUAUCGAAAGAGGCGUGUAUCUUGCAAAGCCCUCAUUGUUCCCGUGUUUUUUCGUCAUUUGUGAUGCUUGCUUCGGUGAAAAUCUGGGAUUCAAUUGAAGAAGCUCGCCUUUUCUAUGACUGGUUUAAGUAUUUCCAAACACAGAAAUGACCAUCAAUUUAAGUAUAAGCGGAUCACACGAAAUUCUUAGAAAAGUGUUGGUUGAAGGAAUCGCAGCUUUCGACACACCACUCAAACUAGACGUCGGCGCCUUAACUAAGCCAUCACUGAGGCUUAAGGUAUUUUAGGUGCUGAUGGACGACCAUCAUCGACAACAAUUCUUACAAUCUUGUAUGGGGCAUUCAUAAUCGGUGAGAACCUGUCUGCGUCAUCUAUAGACUAUUUUUCCUAUUCCACAAGGAAAAGGAUACUAUGUCUUGAACGACAUUUUUCGAUUUGUUGGUGUCGAAGAAUCUUCAACAGUUGUUGAGGAGAAGGUUGAUGAAAAUACUUCAGUUGCUUCUUUGGAUAUGCCAUUUUGCUUUGACACUAUAUAAAUAGGUCACUUGAUUGCUAUGACACUAUCUCAAGCUUGAUGUUUAUUGUCUGUUAUUGUUAAGGAUUUAAGUUAUAUACAACAAUAUUGUUAAGAUUUUGUUAUACUAUCAGUGUAGCUUAACCUAUUAUGAGGUGUUAAUGCUUAUAAUAGAGAUGUACUUAUAAUCACCUCUUGAAUGAAUUGAUUGCGUAAAUAUUUAACCUUUCAGUCUGUUGAACUUAAACUCGAUUUUAACUAUACUAUAUUGUUCCUUUUUGAAAUUACCAUUGCAUUCAGAACCAGCUACUGAAAGCAAAGCUGAAGAUAAUGUCAAAGCUAACGUCAAUGAAGUUUAUGAUAUAUCAGCGACUAAGGUGACAACUGAUGAUCAAGUUGGCAAGAAGAGCCUUCAAUCACUUCGAGCAAAAAAAAAAAAAAGAAGAAAAAUAGUUACUGAGACAGACCUAGUCGUUGGAGAAUGCGACUCCUAAAGCUAUGUACGCUUCAAUGGUUAGUUAUGCUUUUAGGGGGUCGUUUGGUUCACAUGCUACUUAUACGGAAAUUAUAAAGAUUUUCUUAGAGUUUCUUUACAUUUAAAGCUUUGCCUUAUUCGAAAUGUUACCCAUAGGUGAAGUAGGGCAGGUUUUCACCGAUUACGAAUGCCCCAUAUGAGAUUGUAAGAAUUGUUGCAUAUGAUGGUCUUUCAUCAGCACCUCAAAUACCUCAAGCCAAUGACGGCUCAGUUAAGGCGCCGACGUCUAGUUCGAGUGGUGUGUCGAAAGCUGCAGCUCCUUCAACUAAUGUUGCACAAGAAAUUUCAAUGAGAAAAUCUGAUGUAAAUUUGCAAUGCCUUAAAUCAAACAGUUGCUUAAAAUUUACCAUGUUUGACCAUUUUCUGAAUUGUUCGAUUACAGGAAAAUUGAUAUAUACUAGAGGAUUUCCAACCAACACAACAAGAAUGACCUCCAAGCCGUUGUCAAGCAGUUUGGAGCAGUUCAAAGUCGCGAUGUUCAAAACAAAAGUUAUGAGGUAUAUUUGUUUUACAUUGUUGUUGGUUAUUGUUAGUCUAUCAUUUAUUCAAACCUCUUUCUUGUUUACGAUAAAGCAUCUCAAUAGAAAAUUUUGCGAAUGUAGCAUGAAUACUGCUGUCAACUUGUGCAUUUUCAUAAUGUAAUUUCUGCUCAAACUGCAGUUCAUGUAAUGAGUUCUGCAAAGUCCUCUUUCUUCAAAACAUAUUCGAAUUUUGAUUUAGUUGAUCAUA
This is a long non-coding RNA of Lycium ferocissimum, 1910 nucleotides long. RefSeq lists it as uncharacterized. The record is from RefSeq and is a predicted model, not a curated record. The transcript is spliced from 5 exons. Lineage: Eukaryota; Viridiplantae; Streptophyta; Magnoliopsida; Solanales; Solanaceae.